CUGGCAUCAGAGGGUGAGGGCCGAUGGGCGGUGCGCCAUUCGGGGAGAAGGGCUCAGGCUUGGAGAUCAAGGAGUAGUUCCCUUUGUCAUUCACCCCGGGGUGUAUAAAUCGACAGUUCAUGCCCCAAGUGCAAUGACCUUUCAUGAAGAACCGACAGGUGGGACGUGGCCUCACUUUUCUGUCGUUGGGAUCUUUAACUUCUCCCUCUUCCAAGUCAUCGUCAUCAAUUUCGCCAUCAUCGAUCUCUCCAUCAUCUUCUUCUUUCUUCUUUUCCUUGAUGGGAUCCUGGCCGUCCUUUUCAUCAUCGC
This 309-nucleotide long non-coding RNA is filed under the name Gallus gallus (chicken). The record is from RNAcentral. Lineage: Eukaryota; Metazoa; Chordata; Aves; Galliformes; Phasianidae.